RNAcentral lists this ribosomal RNA (488 nucleotides) under uncultured Stenotrophomonas sp. RNAcentral describes it as "bacterial SSU rRNA". It matches the Rfam family "Bacterial small subunit ribosomal RNA", at positions 34 to 508 of the family's 1533-position model. Lineage: Bacteria; Pseudomonadati; Pseudomonadota; Gammaproteobacteria; Lysobacterales; Lysobacteraceae. The record is from RNAcentral.
CGCUGGCGGUAGGCUAACACAUGCAAAGUCGAAACGGGCAGCACAGGAGAGCUUGCUCUCUGGGGUGGGCGAGUGGGCGACGGGGUGAGGGAAAUACAAUCGGAAAUCACCCUUUUCGUGGGGGAUAACGUAGGGAAACUUACGCUAAUACGCAUACGACCUUCGGGUGAAAGCAGGGGGACCUUCGGGCCUUGCGCGGAUAGAUGAGCCGAUGUCGAUUAGCUAGUGCGGGUAAGGCCACCAAGGCGACGAUCCGUAGCUGGUCUGAGAGGAUGAUCAGCCACACUGGAACUGAGACACGGUCCAGACUCCUACGGGAGGCAGCAGUGGGGAAUAUUGGACAAUGGGCGCAAGCCUGAUCCAGCCAUACCGCGUGGGUGAAGAAGGCCUUCGGGUUGUAAAGCCCUUUUGUUGGGAAAGAAAAGCAGUCGGUUAAUACCCGGUUGUUCUGACGGUACCCAAAGAAUAAGCACCGGCUAACUUCGUGC